UUUUCCACCGGAGCUUGCUCCACCGGAAAAAGAGGAGUAGGCGAACGGGUGAGUAACACGUGGGUAACCUGCCCAUCAGAAGGGGAUAACACUUGGAAACAGGUGCUAAUACCGUAUAACAAUCGAAACCGCAUGGUUUUGAUUUGAAAGGCGCUUUCGGGUGUCGCUGAUGGAUGGACCCGCGGUGCAUUAGCUAGUUGGUGAGGUAACGGCUCACCAAGGCCACGAUGCAUAGCCGACCUGAGAGGGUGAUCGGCCACAUUGGGACUGAGACACGGCCCAAACUCCUACGGGAGGCAGCAGUAGGGAAUCUUCGGCAAUGGACGAAAGUCUGACCGAGCAACGCCGCGUGAGUGAAGAAGGUUUUCGGAUCGUAAAACUCUGUUGUUAGAGAAGAACAAGGAUGAGAGUAACUGUUCAUCCCUUGACGGUAUCUAACCAGAAAGCCACGGCUAACUACGUGCCAGCAGCCGCGGUAAUACGUAGGUGGCAAGCGUUGUCCGGAUUUAUUGGGCGUAAAGCGAGCGCAGGCGGUUUCUUAAGUCUGAUGUGAAAGCCCCCGGCUCAACCGGGGAGGGUCAUUGGAAACUGGGAGACUUGAGUGCAGAAGAGGAGAGUGGAAUUCCAUGUGUAGCGGUGAAAUGCGUAGAUAUAUGGAGGAACACCAGUGGCGAAGGCGGCUCUCUGGUCUGUAACUGACGCUGAGGCUCGAAAGCGUGGGGAGCAAACAGGAUUAGAUACCCUGGUAGUCCACGCCGUAAACGAUGAGUGCUAAGUGUUGGGAGGGUUUCCGCCCUUCAGUGCUGCAGCUAACGCAU
RNAcentral lists this ribosomal RNA (818 nucleotides) under Enterococcus sp. RNAcentral describes it as "bacterial SSU rRNA". It matches the Rfam family "Bacterial small subunit ribosomal RNA", at positions 65 to 860 of the family's 1533-position model. The record is from RNAcentral. Lineage: Bacteria; Bacillati; Bacillota; Bacilli; Lactobacillales; Enterococcaceae.